RNAcentral lists this ribosomal RNA (776 nucleotides) under uncultured sediment archaeon. Its description in RNAcentral is "bacterial SSU rRNA". It matches the Rfam family "Archaeal small subunit ribosomal RNA", at positions 579 to 1353 of the family's 1478-position model. The record is from RNAcentral.
GAAUACUGCAGAGCUAGGGAGUGGGAGAGGUAGACGGAACUCGGGAGGAAGUGGUAAAAUGCUUUGAUCUCUCGAUGACCACCUGUGGCGAAGGCGGUCUACCAGAACACGUCCGACGGUGAGGGAUGAAAGCUGGGGGAGCAAACCGGAUUAGAUACCCGGGUAGUCNCAGCUGUAAACUAUGCAAACUCAGUGAUGCACUGGCUUGUGGCCAGUGCAGUGUUGCAGGGAAGCCGUUAAGUUUGCCGCCUGGGAAGUACGUACGCAAGUAUGAAACUUAAAGGAAUUGGCGGGGGAGCACCACAAGGGGUGAAGCCUGCGGUUCAAUUGGAGUCAACGCCAGAAAUCUUACCCGGAGAGACAGCAGAAUGAAGGUCAAGCUGAAGACUUUACCAGACAAGCUGAGAGGUGGUGCAUGGCCGUCGCCAGCUCGUGCCGUGAGAUGUCCUGUUAAGUCAGGUAACGAGCGAGAUCCCUGCCUCUAGUUGCCACCAUUACUCUCAGGAGUAGUGGGGCGAAUUAGCGGGACCGCCGCAGUUAAUGCGGAGGAAGGAAGGGGCCACGGCAGGUCAGUAUGCCCCGAAACUCUGGGGCCACACGCGGGCUGCAAUGGUAACGACAAUGUGUUCCGAAUCCGAAAGGAAGAGGUAAUCCUCAAACGUUACCACAGUUAUGACUGAGGGCUGCAACUCGCCCUCACGAAUAUGGAAUCCCUAGUAACUGCGUGUCAUUAUCGCGCGGUGAAUACGUCCCUGCUCCUUGCACACACCGCCCGU